Molecule: ribosomal RNA, 402 nt
Filed under: uncultured Sphingomonadaceae bacterium
Lineage: Bacteria; Pseudomonadati; Pseudomonadota; Alphaproteobacteria; Sphingomonadales; Sphingomonadaceae
Description: bacterial SSU rRNA
Rfam family: Bacterial small subunit ribosomal RNA
Source: RNAcentral
UGGGGAAUAUUGGACAAUGGGCGCAAGCCUGAUCCAGCAAUGCCGCGUGAGUGAUGAAGGCCUUAGGGUUGUAAAGCUCUUUUACCCGGGAAGAUAAUGACUGUACCGGGAGAAUAAGCCCCGGCUAACUCCGUGCCAGCAGCCGCGAUAAUACGGAGGGGGCUAGCGUUGUUCGGAAUUACUGGGCGUAAAGCGCACGUAGGCGGCUUUGUAAGUUAGAGGUGAAAGCCCGGGGCUCAACCCCGGAAUUGCCUUUAAGACUGCAUCGCUUGAACGUCGGAGAGGUGAGUGGAAUUCCGAGUGUAGAGGUGAAAUUCGUAGAUAUUCGGAAGAACACCAGUGGCGAAGGCGGCUCACUGGACGACUGUUGACGCUGAGGUGCGAAAGCGUGGGGAGCAAACA